This 72-nucleotide transfer RNA is filed under the name Bos taurus (domestic cattle). It matches the Rfam family "tRNA". From Rfam's summary of the family: Transfer RNA (tRNA) molecules are approximately 80 nucleotides in length. Their secondary structure includes four short double-helical elements and three loops (D, anti-codon, and T loops). The record is from Rfam by way of RNAcentral. RNAcentral also lists the same sequence under 5 other names. Lineage: Eukaryota; Metazoa; Chordata; Mammalia; Artiodactyla; Bovidae.
UCCCUGGUGGCUUAGAGGGUAAAGCUUCUGCCUGCAAUGUGGGAGACUUAGGUUCGAUCCCUGAGUCGGGAA